Molecule: ribosomal RNA, 497 nt
Filed under: uncultured bacterium
Lineage: Bacteria
Description: partial 16S ribosomal RNA
Rfam family: Bacterial small subunit ribosomal RNA
Source: RNAcentral
GAUGAACGCUGGCGGCGUGCCUAAUACAUGCAAGUCGAGCGAACGGACGAGAAGCUUGCUUCUCUGAUGUUAGCGGCGGACGGGUGAGUAACACGUGGAUAACCUACCUAUAAGACUGGGAUAACUUCGGGAAACCGGAGCUAAUACCGGAUAAUAUUUUGAACCGCAUGGUUCAAAAGUGAAAGACGGUCUUGCUGUCACUUAUAGAUGGAUCCGCGCUGCAUUAGCUAGUUGGUAAGGUAACGGCUUACCAAGGCAACGAUGCAUAGCCGACCUGAGAGGGUGAUAGCCCACACUGGAACUGAGACACGGUCCAGACUCCUACGGGAGGCAGCAGUAGGGAAUCUUCCGCAGUGGGCGAGAGCCUGACGGAGCAACGCCGCGUGAGUGAUGAAGGUCUUCGGAGCGUAAAACUCUGUUAUUAGGGAAGAACAUAUGUGUAAGUAACUGUGCACAUCUUGACGGUACCUAAUCAGAAAGCCACGGCUAACUACGUG